AGGGUUAUAGUUACUUAUAACAUUUGAUUUGCACUCAAAAAGUAUUGAUUAUAUCAAUUAACCUUA
RNAcentral lists this transfer RNA (66 nucleotides) under Ramulus hainanensis. Its description in RNAcentral is "Ramulus hainanense tRNA-Ala". It matches the Rfam family "tRNA". From Rfam's summary of the family: Transfer RNA (tRNA) molecules are approximately 80 nucleotides in length. Their secondary structure includes four short double-helical elements and three loops (D, anti-codon, and T loops). The record is from RNAcentral. Lineage: Eukaryota; Metazoa; Arthropoda; Insecta; Phasmatodea; Phasmatidae.